RNAcentral lists this ribosomal RNA (253 nucleotides) under uncultured Blautia sp. Its description in RNAcentral is "partial 16S ribosomal RNA". It matches the Rfam family "Bacterial small subunit ribosomal RNA", at positions 524 to 776 of the family's 1533-position model. The record is from RNAcentral. Lineage: Bacteria; Bacillati; Bacillota; Clostridia; Lachnospirales; Lachnospiraceae.
UACGGAGGAUGCGAGCGUUAUCCGGAUUUAUUGGGUGUAAAGGGAGCGUAGACGGCGGUGCAAGCCAGAUGUGAAAGCCCGGGGCUCAACCCCGGGACUGCAUUUGGAACUGUAUGGCUGGAGUGUCGGAGAGGCAGGCGGAAUUCCUAGUGUAGCGGUGAAAUGCGUAGAUAUUAGGAGGAACACCAGUGGCGAAGGCGGCUUACUGGACUGUAAAUGACGCUGAUGCGCGAAAGCGUGGGGAGCAAACAGG